This 2034-nucleotide long non-coding RNA is filed under the name Hordeum vulgare. RNAcentral's name for it is "long non-coding RNA (HVUL_LNC002702)". Lineage: Eukaryota; Viridiplantae; Streptophyta; Magnoliopsida; Poales; Poaceae. The record is from RNAcentral.
GAGACGCCGGCCUGCUGCUAUGGGUAAGGCCGAUACUAGUCUAACGUCGCCAAUUUGAUAGGAUUUUCACCGUUAUAUGAACGCCGCCUCAGUCAGGACUGAUAUCAGCAAGUAGCAUGCAGUAGAGUAGAUAGAGACACAUGUUUAGGGAUACAGUGCGCAAAAAUUUGUGCGUGUGUGUGCUGGGUGGGGGGCAGCGUUCGCCAUGAACAACAUUGCUCAGUGGUAUUUGCAUGCACCUCUUAGAAAUAAACUGCACUCCUUUACCUAAAUUACAUGACUGUAUCAUCAAGUAGAAGCAAUCUUUUUUUGAAGUCCAUUGUUCAUGAGCUGUGGCCAUUUUUCAACUGCUUGUUCAGGACAGGUACCACAAAUUCAUACCUCAAUUCAGUGAGAACAAGCACAAUUAUUUUGUUUUCCGCUUUCGGUUCUGAGCAGGUGCAACCUUUUCAGUUAUGAAACGCAUGGGAGUGAGAUACCUCAAGUGUGCAAUACCAGCCGUAAGCUAUUCAGUUCGUUGACGGCGCCGAGCCGGUUAAUCUGCAACUCUCAGAAGUGCAGAGUUUGCCAAAGAGUUCUGCCACUGCUUCAAGAACUCUUACCCGGAUGUUGUUAAUGCUGCGCUGCUCGCCACUUCAAUUCUUCAAUGGUGGGCUCCACUGUUGCUGCCUAUAUUGCUUGGAAUAUUUGGAAUGACCAGAACCGGGGAGUUUUUCAGCAUAAGACAGCUUCGAUGUCAGCUGUCGCUGCCUUCAUCAGAGAAGAUAUCAGCCUCUUUGCUGAGGCCUGGGAGUAGUUCCUUUUCUAUUUUUUGUACUGCUUGCCUCGGCUGCUGUGGCCUCUUUCUUUCCCUCCUGUUUUCUUAGGCUGUGACCAAAGCCUACUUGUACAGUUUUCCCUCUACUAAAUGCAAAGGCAGAGCACCUGCCAUUUCUGGUAAAAAAGAAGAAGUGCAGAGUUGUGAGACCUGCCGACUGGGUUUCUUAAUUAGCUUGUUUAUGAUUUAAAGCUGAAGGUGAUUAGUUUUGCUGACUUUUGCACUUUUGUGAUGACAGACCAAAAAUCAAUGGCCUAAAGGAUCAGCUCAUGGGAUUCGAGGCAAGUCUGGCAGACGCUAUGUCCAGUACGCAUUUCAAGCAUUUCUUCACUCACUUGUGCACUUUGCAGUAAUGGCAUCUAUAUCCUACUCAAUUUGUUUAUUUUUGGUUAUAAUGGUUCACCACAUGCGCUAGUUAAUCAAUGUUUGAUUUCGUAUUGAUGUCCUUGCAUUUUACUGCAUUCCAUGGAAGGGCUGAAAUCUUGUACACUGCCUCUCCAGCCUGAGUGAAGAAAAAGGAUCACAAAGUAAGCUCACCAGUGAGUCAAUUUUGAAUGCCACUCCAACGAACGAGCAGCUCAGGAGCUUGGUCUUGUAUUAGAAGGCUAGGACUAGGAGAGAUAAGUGUAAUAUCACAUCAGCUUUGAGGUAAAAAUGUAUUCUAAAUCAUAUAGUACAAUAUUUUAAGGCUGCACAGUAUUACUAUUAUCUGAUCCGCAAAGCCUAAACUGAGUAGGAAAUUAGAAGUGUUUCAGUAGGAUUUAAAGAUAUGAGUCCAAAUAUUCCAGUCUGAGCUCUUUUGAACUCCUAGGGUCAACAUAUUUUGCCGUUGUAAUUGAUAGUUAUGUUGACUCCAACAUGAUUCUUUUGUUAGAAUAUUUCCCUUGGCUAUGUGCAGGACGUGAAAUCAACAUGCCUUCAUACAUCUUCAUUUGAUGCCAGCUAUCGAAGCUAUUGAGGCUAAUAUUGACACGAUGGGAAAAAGAACCUAGACGAAGUUAUCUUGUGGUACAAUAAAUUUCUCGGUUUUGAAGUUUUUGCAGAAUGUAUUGAGAGUUUCAAUGACAUGGUCCAUUAAGUUGCUUCAUACCAUCACAUGUGACAUCUCCUCUUUUUUCAAGGGGUUAGAUUUGUCUUCAAUAAAGUUGACAUGCAAAGAAUGGCGGGCCUGUGGCCUGCUGGUCCUGCACUGUCUAAUAUUCAUAUUGUUUGAAAAU